Molecule: RNA transcript, 1410 nt
Organism: Papilio machaon (common yellow swallowtail)
Lineage: Eukaryota; Metazoa; Arthropoda; Insecta; Lepidoptera; Papilionidae
Gene: SC35
Gene name: serine/arginine-rich splicing factor 2
Exons: 5
Source: RefSeq, a predicted model, not a curated record
AACAAUUUAAUUUUAGUCUAUGAUUUGCAUGGCUUGGACGCGGUUGUCUUUUUAGAAGUGCAUAAUUGUGAAACUUUUCCGUGACGCCAUCUUGCUUGCCUUUCGUUUCGUGGUUUCACUUAUUCUUUUGACUGUAAUACAAAGGAUCGAAAUAAUAUCAAAAUGAGCUACGGCAGGCCGCCGCCACGAAUAGAUGGCAUGGUUUCAUUGAAAGUAGAUAAUUUAACAUAUCGGACUACCGCUGAAGAUUUACGAAGAGUAUUCGAGAGGUGUGGCGACGUUGGCGACAUAUAUAUUCCCAGAGAUCGUUAUACACGUGAAAGCAGAGGAUUCGCCUUUGUGAGGUUCUUCGAUAGACGCGAUGCCGAAGAUGCAUUGGAUUCCUUGGACGGGAGGAUGUUAGAUGGCAGGGAACUUCGUGUUCAAAUGGCGCGCUACGGGCGCCCAUCUUCACCAUACCGAAGUCGUUACGAUCGCCGUCGCAGCUUAUCGCGUUCUCGGUCUCGUUCACGUCGUCGAUCCAGGUCCCGUUCGCGGUCGAAGCGGCGUUCGUACUCCCGCAGCCGCUCCCGCUCCCGCUCUCGAUCCGACUCGAAGAGCUCCCGUGGACGCUCCCGUAGCCACAGCCGCUCCCGCUCGCGCUCCCGUCAUUGAAGUAAUGGGUUAAAUGUACCAGCUAGAAGCUUGUGCUGGAUAGAAAGAUGAGAAGCAAAGCAGCCCCUGGCAAGGGCGUGGAGUUUGCUGGGAGAGCGAGCGGUUUGCGGGAAGGGGGGGUUUUGCUGAUUGCUGACAACUGCUGAUUUGCUGUUGUUGCAGUGAAUAAGUUAUGAGUAAACUUUUAUAAUUAAUUGACAAACCGAGACACGCAUUACGUCGGUACAUUUGGCUGCCGCUAACUCAUUAUCACAUCACCUUUUAUGUCUAAAUCAAACAGGUGGAUUAUUUUAGCAUUUUUAUAAUUUUCAAAUAUUAUUAAUUUGCUAAUAUAAAUUGUGAAUAGUUCAGUAUAAAAUAGACUGGAUGCAGCCAGUGGAGUGUUGUUUUUGGGGUUAGUAAGAACUAAUGUGAGCAUUUGUUUGGCAGGCCGGUGCUGCUCGCUGGCCUGUUUGCUGUGGCAGUCCUGUGCUGUGUAAGCUGUGUUUGCAGAUGCGCGCGUCUAGGUUUAUUGGCGACAGCAGAAACACCCUCCUGCCCUGUUAUACCCACACCUUGACAACCUUUUAAGGAUAUAUUUUUAAAUGUGUUUCGAGUUUGCAUCAUUUUAGGUGUUUUAAGGAAUAGGUUGUUGACGCAAAUGACUAAUUGAACCUAAUCUCUUCCUUAAAACUUUUCAAGAAAGAAGACGCGUGGGAAAGAGGUUAAUCAGCAAAAAUGAAGUAUAAUUUUGUCUUAAUAAAUUUAGUAAUAGAA